Molecule: long non-coding RNA, 1321 nt
Organism: Canis lupus familiaris (dog)
Lineage: Eukaryota; Metazoa; Chordata; Mammalia; Carnivora; Canidae
Exons: 8
Source: RefSeq, a predicted model, not a curated record
GUUUGUACUUGCACAGUUAAUCAGGGCCCUUACAUUUGUGAAACAAAUACAGUUGAGGCAGAUAGAAUAUGAAGUGGUGCAAAAGAGGCACCUGAUUCAGUUAGUAUCUCAAAAAUGUCUCGUGAGUGUAUUUGAGGAGACAUGAUAAUAAUAUGAGGGAUUUUUCAUCUUAUAAUGUCAAGUGAGGAAAAGCAGCCACCAAGAUUGGAAUCAUGGAAGAGUAAUUUCAAAUUCUAUUUGCUAAUACAAAGAAAAGUUAUGAUAUUCCUGUUGAACACUGUUCUCAUGGAAUUUGGCAUAGUAUGGAGUCCUGUGUUGGUGUCAGUACAGUCACCACCAGGAGCUAGGAAGAGGUCAGCUCUGACAAGUAACUGAGAUUGCAAGGACACUGCCUUCACCCUCCCCACCAAAUGCCCUUAUUAACAUGCACAAGAAGGCUCCACACCCAGCAUGGAGCCCAACACAGGACCUGAACUCAUGACCGUGAGAUGAACAAUGUAUCUGGAAUCAACAGCAGACACCUAAUUGACUGAGGCAACCAAGCACCCCAAGUACAAUUGAUUAUUUAAGGAAUGUCAACAACCUUGAUUUCUUUCCUGAACCUAUGGAGCAACAGUAACAAUCUCUGAUUCACUUAAAGGCACUUGCAGAUUUUUCCCUUCUUCAGCAACCUAUAAGCAGCAGAUAUGGAUGAUAUACAUGACAUCAUUUUCUGUAUUAUCUACUGAAAACACAAAAUGUCCUUUGGUUUCCAGAAGCAGACUAAGGGAAAUUACACUAAUUAUCCUAAAGGCAGACAGAAGGAGAAAGAGAGAAGAGAGAGAGUUGGGAGGGGCAGAGAGAGAGAGGAUCUUAAGCAGGAUCCAUACCCAGUGGGCAGCCUGACACAGAGCUCAAUCACAACCCUGAGAUCAUGACCUAAGCUGAAAUCAAGACUGAGCAAUCUAGGUGCCCCUCUAGUAACCACGUUUAAAAAGUGUCAAUAAGGCCGUGGAAAGAAUAAAACAUACUAUUUGGUGGAAAGAGCUAACUAUCCUGCUGCAAAUGAACACCCUAUGUAUCUCUGACUAAAUUGACUACAUAAUAAAAGCAAAGCAAAUGUUGACAGAUAUUGGCUGGAAAAUAUGUCACGUAGAAAGGGGAUUUCAAUGUGCUUCACUACUGAAAAUAUUUUGCUGGAUUUUGAACCAAGAAUAAGCUAAGUCUGAAUGAUCUAUUCAAUUGUAUCAAGCCCAUCAAUUUCAGAAAACUUGCUCUAUUUCUAUUGUUGGCAAUUGCCAACACUAAACUCCUAAACUCACAAACUCACAAAAAUUAAAGA